AGAAUAUGACUGACAACACAACAACACAAGGGAACAGCUGGGUCGAAACACAUAAUAUUUUCCUGGUAGAGAAAGAAGCUGAUUAGGCUGUGGAGUACCUAAUUGGGUGUUGGCCUUGAAUGACGGAAAACUCCAGUCAGGACGAGCAGAGCUAGUGAAGAGCAGCAGCGUUACCAGUGCAGGUUCGGGUCCUGGGAGGAGCAGCACAUCCCAAAGGCCAGGAAGUUCAUAUGAAGUUUCUGAACCUCCACUUUGCCCCUUGGGGAGAAGCAGCCCGGAAAUAAGGUGAAAGUGUUCUGAAAGAAAUGAGGAAAUCUCAAAAGGAAAAAAAAAAAUAGCACAUUAUAGAAAUACUGGUAAAUAAAAUAUAACCAACGAGCAGCAUGGGAAGCAGGUUUAACCCACUGCACACCAGUUUUCCUGUAGUGCCAGCCAACUGAAUGUUUAAUGUAGAAUAUCAAGUAUUACGGCUUAUAUGUAUUAGUGACAUUAAAUAUGAUAUAAACAUGAAUAGAUUAAAUUAGAAGA
Molecule: long non-coding RNA, 528 nt
Organism: Cygnus olor (mute swan)
Lineage: Eukaryota; Metazoa; Chordata; Aves; Anseriformes; Anatidae
Exons: 3
Source: RefSeq, a predicted model, not a curated record